GGAAGGUGGGAUGACGUCAAAUCAUCAUGCCCUUAUGUUCUGGGCUACACACGUGCUACAAUGGCCGGUACAGACGGACGCAAAGCCGCGAGGUGGAGCAAAUCCCUAAAAAGCCGGUCUCAGUUCGGAUUGCAGGCUGCAAUUCGCCUGCAUGAAGUCGGAAUCGCUAGUAAUCGCAGGUCAGCAUACUGCGGUGAAUACGUUCCCGGGCCUU
This 214-nucleotide ribosomal RNA is filed under the name uncultured Bacillus sp. Its description in RNAcentral is "partial 16S ribosomal RNA". It matches the Rfam family "Bacterial small subunit ribosomal RNA", at positions 1168 to 1382 of the family's 1533-position model. Lineage: Bacteria; Bacillati; Bacillota; Bacilli; Caryophanales; Bacillaceae. The record is from RNAcentral.